Molecule: non-coding RNA, 186 nt
Filed under: Thioalkalivibrio halophilus
Lineage: Bacteria; Pseudomonadati; Pseudomonadota; Gammaproteobacteria; Chromatiales; Ectothiorhodospiraceae
Description: 6S RNA
Rfam family: 6S / SsrS RNA
About the family: E. coli 6S RNA was the first non coding RNA to be sequenced, but its function was unknown until recently. It consists of 184 nucleotides that fold into an extended hairpin structure with a large single-stranded internal bulge.
Source: RNAcentral
GCGUCGCUGCGGCGUUCGAACGUGGCCGGGUGGUACCCUUGAGCCUUAAUGCAACACCCAGGGACCGAGUUCUUCCGUUUCGCUGUGCAGGUCCGCCCCCGAGCGGAAAGCCUAAAGAUCCGGAGACUUCUCCCACCUGAACCGCUGGUUCAAGGUCGAAGGCCACGACGGCGCCUGCGGGGCGCG